AUGGCGACGGCGGCGGAGUUGGACUCCGGUGGCGGCUCGAAGAGGAGGCGGACGGGCGAGGGAGGGGAGCGAGCGCAUCCAGGCGCGGGAGCGGCGGAGGAGGACCGUAUUUCGUCGCUGCCGGAGGCGCUGCGGCUGCACAUCCUCGGCCUCCUCCCGUUCAAAUCCGCCGUUCGCACGGGCGCGAUCUCCACCCGGUGGCGCGCGCUCUGGGCGCACCGCUGGCCGGAGCCCUCCUCGCUCGACCUCCGCCUCAAGACCCACGCGCCCCCGCCGCCGAUCCUCGAAUCCCUGGAGCGGCGCGGCCGCCGGCGCCUCGACCGGCUCUCCCUGACCCCUGGGCUUCAUUUUCAAGCUCCGCCUCCCGCGGGCGACCCGCACCUCACGCGCCUCACCGUCGGCAGCAUCCGCGUCGGCCUCUCCAAGCCCUUCUCCGCCCGCUGCCACACCUUCUCCGUCCUCGAGGUCAUCUACCUCGAGGGCGUCACGCUCUCCGACCACACCGUCGAGAACCUGGUCGCCGCGUGCCCCCUCCUCCGCGCCCUCGACCUGCGCUACUGCGAUGGCCUCGAUUUCGUCAACGUCGAGGCCGCCGGGCCGCACCUGAGGAGCCUCACCGUCGCGGAGUGCGGAGGGGUGAGAGACAUUUCUACCAUGGAGGCGCCCAGCCUUCGCUCCUUCCGCUACAGCGGCUCCUACAGCCGCGCCCUGACAAUCCCUGCCGCCUGCGCGCUCGCCGACCUUUACCUAUGCUUCGGCGGACCUGCCGGUCGCCUCCGGCCUCUCGGCACCCCACUCUGUUUCGAUUUUGCUUGGCCUGCAGGGGUGCCAAGAAAUUGGCUUCAGGCACCGUGCUUACCCUCUGCAGCAGUGCCCUGCGGGUUGGUUGCUUCCUGCAUUUCAUUCCAUCGAUUUUUAUUGCAAUACUUAGUUACUCAUUGGUCAUGGCCUUCUUUGCAGAGAGUGUCUGCCAAGGCUCGUGAGAGAUCACUAACCAAAAGUGGUGCCGCGUCGUGCGAAUUGCGGAAUUUGAGAGAGCUGCAGCUGCUGAUGUUUGCAAUGUAUAACAGCAGCGUGGAUGACAUUUGUGUUUUCAUCGUGGCCUGCUGCCCCUCUCUAUUAGAGAGGAUGUUUGUGCAGCUUCCAACAAAUAGUCACUAUUAUAGAGCAGGCUCGGAACCAUCAGAAUCAGAGGAAGAGCUACUAGAGGAAAACAGGCCAGUGGAGGAUCUGCGGGGAGAAGCGCCACCUGAGGAAGAUGGGCCAGAGGGAGAGCUACCAGAAGAGGAAGAUGAGCUUCAGGAGGAGCUACCAGAGGGAGAGCUAUCAGAAGAGGAAGUUGAGCUUCAAGACGAGCUGCCAGAGGGAGAGCUAUCGGAAGAGGAAGAUGAGCUUCAAGACGAGCUGCCAGAGGGAGAGCUAUCAGAAGAGGAAGAUGAGCUUCAAGACGAGCUGCCAGAGGGAGAGGCGUCGGAGGAAAAUCAAUCAGAGGAAGACUGGUCAGAUGAAGAGCUAUCUGAUGGAGGGCAAUCAGAGGAAGACCCAGUAGAAGAUUGCCUUGAGAACCUUAAGUUGCUCAAGAUGACGAAUUUCAAGGGGGGUGACAAUGAGAUGAGGCUACUAAGGUUUGUGUUGAGGAACUCUACUAGUCUCAACCAAUUGCUGCUAUUUACAUCGAAGAGUGAUCGACCAGAGUGGCUCCAGAAGGAUCAUCUGGAUACGUCCGAUAUUCUCGAAACAAAAAUAUUGCCUCUCCAAAAAGCCCUACCAAAUUGCCAGAUAAUUCUCAGUGAGUCUGAUGGUGAUGCAAUUCAGGCAUUUCAUCGGGAGGCCUUUGUCAACGUCUAG
RNAcentral lists this ribosomal RNA (1848 nucleotides) under Triticum aestivum (bread wheat). RNAcentral's name for it is "partial small subunit ribosomal RNA". The record is from RNAcentral. Lineage: Eukaryota; Viridiplantae; Streptophyta; Magnoliopsida; Poales; Poaceae.